Molecule: non-coding RNA, 24 nt
Filed under: Pyrodinium bahamense
Lineage: Eukaryota; Dinophyceae; Gonyaulacales; Pyrocystaceae
Source: RNAcentral
CGCAUGCAGAAGACAUGCCCAUGA